Molecule: long non-coding RNA, 253 nt
Filed under: Linum usitatissimum (flax)
Lineage: Eukaryota; Viridiplantae; Streptophyta; Magnoliopsida; Malpighiales; Linaceae
Description: long non-coding RNA (LUSI_LNC000578)
Source: RNAcentral
UAGGUCAGCAAGCCGGUGGUCCGCCGGUUAUCCGGCCACCUGGACAGAUGCCUCCAAUGCAGUUCCCUGGACCUCCGAUGGCCCGUGGUCCUCCUCCGCCGCAAUUUGCAGGUAGACCACCGCAGCAGGGGUUUCCAAUGCCUCCUCAGUUUGCUCAGAGACCGAUGGGAAUGCCGCCGCCAAUGAUGAGAGGACCACCUGGCCCGCCGCGUCCAGGGAUGCCUCCUCCUCCUGGUAACAUGUUUGGACCUCC